AAUGCAGUCGAGCGGACAGAUGGGAGCUUGCUCCCUGAUGUUAGCGGCGGACGGGUGAGUAACACGUGGGUAACCUGCCUGUAAGACUGGGAUAACUCCGGGAAACCGGGGCUAAUACCGGAUGCUUGUUUGAACCGCAUGGUUCAAACAUAAAAGGUGGCUUCGGCUACCACUUACAGAUGGACCCGCGGCGCAUUAGCUAGUUGGUGAGGUAACGGCUCACCAAGGCAACGAUGCGUAGCCGACCUGAGAGGGUGAUCGGCCACACUGGGACUGAGACACGGCCCAGACUCCUACGGGAGGCAGCAGUAGGGAAUCUUCCGCAAUGGACGAAAGUCUGACGGAGCAACGCCGCGUGAGUGAUGAAGGUUUUCGGAUCGUAAAGCUCUGUUGUUAGGGAAGAACAAGUACCGUUCGAAUAGGGCGGUACCUUGACGGUACCUAACCAGAAAGCCACGGCUAACUACGUGCCAGCAGCCGCGGUAAUACGUAGGUGGCAAGCGUUGUCCGGAAUUAUUGGGCGUAAAGGGCUCGCAGGCGGUUCCUUAAGUCUGAUGUGAAAGCCCCCGGCUCAACCGGGGAGGGUCAUUGGAAACUGGGGAACUUGAGUGCAGAAGAGGAGAGUGGAAUUCCACGUGUAGCGGUGAAAUGCGUAGAGAUGUGGAGGAACACCAGUGGCGAAGGCGACUCUCUGGUCUGUAACUGACGCUGAGGAGCGAAAGCGUGGGGAGCGAACAGGAUUAGAUACCCUGGUAGUCCACGCCGUAAACGAUGAGUGCUAAGUGUUAGGGGGUUUCCGCCCCUUAGUGCUGCAGCUAACGCAUUAAGCACUCCGCCUGGGGAGUACGGUCGCAAGACUGAAACUCAAAGGAAUUGACGGGGGCCCGCACAAGCGGUGGAGCAUGUGGUUUAAUUCNAAGCAACGCGAAGAACCUUACCAGGUCUUGACAUCCUCUGACAAUCCUAGAGAUAGGACGUCCCCUUCGGGGGCAGAGUGACAGGUGGUGCAUGGUUGUCGUCAGCUCGUGUCGUGAGAUGUUGGGUUAAGUCCNGCAACAAGCGCAACCCUUGAUCUUAUUUGCC
Molecule: ribosomal RNA, 1083 nt
Filed under: Bacillus halotolerans
Lineage: Bacteria; Bacillati; Bacillota; Bacilli; Caryophanales; Bacillaceae
Description: bacterial SSU rRNA
Rfam family: Bacterial small subunit ribosomal RNA
Source: RNAcentral